AGAACUUGUUGCUCAAAUCUGCAAAUGAUCAUACAACUUAUGUGCAUAAAUAAUCAAGAUUUUGAAUUACCCGGAAAAAAAAUAUUAAAAUUUGUAGAGUAUGUUCACUAGAUUGAAAAGCAUGAGGUUUCUUUACAUGGACAAAAAGAAAAAGAAAUCCAUGAAAUGUCAUUGUUAUCUAUCAGCUUUUGAACAAUUCACUGAAAAUGCAGCAAAGCUAAUUCUUUAUGAUAAAUUGCAAAAUUUAAAGAACAAGAAUUAUAACUAUUCUUUAUGAUGCUUACCUUUAAUAUCAAAAUAUUUUAUUUGAAUUUGAACAGUUUGAAACAGUUCCCUCAUUAAGUACUUGUCACCUCUUUUUCUUCAUCCGAAAACAACAUUUUCCUAUCCAGAUGAGACAACUUUUUUGGGACAACCCCUCUCAAAUUAAACACCACUUUCCUUUCCUAAUGAGACAGACUUUUUUGGGACAGCCCCCUUAUCACCACCAUGAUCAUGACAUCAACAGGGUAUAUCAGCCGUUGGAUCAAAAUUCAUGAAAACCCAAUUGUAAAAAGAGUUUCAUUUCAUCAUUGAAAUCAAGAUUGCUAGAACUUGAUAAGAAAAUGAAUGAUGGUUUUGAUUGAAAUAUGUAUAAUGAGUCAAUGGAACACAAAAUAUAUAAAUGAGUUAAGGUGGGGUGGUGGGAUUAUAUUAGCAUUGACAAAG
Molecule: long non-coding RNA, 708 nt
Filed under: Panax ginseng (ginseng)
Lineage: Eukaryota; Viridiplantae; Streptophyta; Magnoliopsida; Apiales; Araliaceae
Description: long non-coding RNA (PGIN_LNC001496)
Source: RNAcentral